This 395-nucleotide ribosomal RNA is filed under the name uncultured bacterium. RNAcentral's name for it is "partial 16S ribosomal RNA". It matches the Rfam family "Bacterial small subunit ribosomal RNA", at positions 355 to 743 of the family's 1533-position model. The record is from RNAcentral.
UGGGGAAUAUUGCACAAUGGGCGCAACCUGAUGCAGCCAUGCCGCGUGUGUGAAGAAGGCCUUCGGGUUGUAAAGCACUUUCAGCGAGGAGGAAGGUGGUGAACUUAAUACGUUCAUCAAUUGACGUUACUCGCAGAAGAAGCACCGGCUAACUCCGUGCCAGCAGCCGCGGUAAUACGGAGGGUGCAAGCGUUAAUCGGAAUUACUGGGCGUAAAGCGCACGCAGGCGGUUUGUUAAGUCAGAUGUGAAAUCCCCGGGCUCAACCUGGGAACUGCAUUUGAAACUGGCAAGCUAGAGUCUCGUAGAGGGGGGUAGAAUUCCAGGUGUAGCGGUGAAAUGCGUAGAGAUCUGGAGGAAUACCGGUGGCGAAGGCGGCCCCCUGGACGAAGACUGC